Molecule: ribosomal RNA, 268 nt
Filed under: uncultured bacterium
Lineage: Bacteria
Description: partial 16S ribosomal RNA
Rfam family: Bacterial small subunit ribosomal RNA
Source: RNAcentral
GAAUGAACGCUGGCGGCAUGCCUAACACAUGCAAGUCGAACGAGACCUUCGGGUCUAGUGGCGCACGGGUGCGUAACGCGUGGGAAUCUGCCCUUGGGUUCGGAAUAACAGUUAGAAAUGACUGCUAAUACCGAAUGAUGUCGUAAGACCAAAAGAUUCAUCGCCCAGGGAUGAGCCCGCGUAGGAUUAGCUAGUUGGUGGGGUAACGCCCACCAANCCAACGAUCAGAACUGGUGUGAGAGCACGACCAGUCACACGGGCACUGAGA